This is a long non-coding RNA of Helianthus annuus (common sunflower), 2331 nucleotides long. RefSeq lists it as uncharacterized. The transcript is spliced from 8 exons. NCBI's taxonomy places the organism in Eukaryota, Viridiplantae, Streptophyta, Magnoliopsida, Asterales, Asteraceae. The record is from RefSeq and is a predicted model, not a curated record.
UUUUUUAUUUUAAUUUUGCUUAGAAGGGUAUAAUAGUAAAAUUGUUACUUUUCUUUCUUUUCUUCUCUACUCGAGAACAUACAAAAUGUUUAUUUUCGUCUCAUUUUCUUUCCAUCCCUUGGGAACACAAAUAAAUUUUUAAUUUUUCCUUUAUAUUUCUUUCCUUUCUCUCCUAAACUUUCUUUAUUUCCUUUUUAGGUAAAUUACACUUUUCGUCCUUUAUGUUUGUAGUUGGUUGCAAUGAAUAGCCUUUAACUUUAAUAAUUACAGUUACAAUCCUUUAUUUGGAAAACGCAUUACACUUUUUGUCCUUUAGCACUAACCAAGUUAAAAUUUUCAGUUAUGUCUAUACACUUAAAGGUAUUCUAGUUAUUUCAUGUUUUUAUUUUACAUGUUUAUUAAUAAAUAAACACAUCUUCCCCAAUUCCCACCCUAACCCUAGAAUCUCUCAUCUUCAUAUUUCUCAAACCUGAUGGUGUCAUCUUCUUCACAGCAUAUCUACAUCUAAUCCCUAGCUUAAUCAUUUCCAAAUUACUCAAUCAUCACGCUGUGUUUAUAUAAAUUAUAUUAGAGGUUUUGAUCUACGUUCAAACCCGCUUCAAACAAUACAAGACUCACUUACCAAAACUGUGCUGUGCGUUUUUCCGGCAAGAGAGAGUUUCCGCUGAAACUCCGGUAACGGUGUAGGUUGGAAUAAAAUAUUAAAUAUAUUUGGGAGUGAAGGCAAAGUAUUUAUUGGAAAAACUUUUGGCUAUUCGAAUUCCAAUUAAAGUCCAGGUUGGGUAUUCAAAGGGUGCCGCCGGCAACAGACAACUACUCCCGGUAAUUUUGAACCUCUUUUUCUCUCUGAUCCGUCAAGCCGUCCAGAUCUACAAUCAAAAACUCGAAUAACUCCUUAUCGUGCGUCGUUUCCAUCAUUGAUUCUGAUGACCACACGUCACUGACUACCUAUCGAUCUUAAACCUCCUUCUCUAUCUGAUCGUUCUGAUCCUUCACGGUGUCUAUAUCUACCGUCAAAAACUCGAACAAUUCCUUUUCGUGUGCCGUUUUCAUCACCGAAUAUGAUAAAGUGUUAUAGCUAGGGUAUUUUGGCAGUGGUGGUGGAUUUGAUAAAGUGGAUAUAACUAGGGUAUUUUGGCACUGGUGGUGGUGCGGUGGCUGAAGAUGGUUGCAGAAAUUUAACACUCAUAUUCAGUCCAUCAAACUGAUGGGUUUAUAAUAUUAGAUUCAGGUCCAUUAGUCCAUUAAUAUGCUGGAACACAGCGUAAAUCUAACGAUUCACACGUCGUUCAACCCUAAAUCACAACAUCGUCGUUCAGUGUCAUCAGAGAUCGUGAAGAUUGCAUACAUAUUUCAUUGAAUUCAACACCACAACCGAAUCGAUUAGGGCUUAAUUAGCGCUUCAAGUGUUCGACGGAUUUAGUUCAACAUCACAACCGAAUCAAUUGCAUACAUGACGGAUUUAGUUCAACAUCACAACCGAAUCGAUUCGAAUAGUGAAGCUCUGGUUAGGGAAUCAACAUCACAACUAAAUCUAUUCCUCGUUUUCAGAAAUCAAUUGAAGGAAAUUUAUCAAGAUCUAUCUCAACCGCCUGGAUUUAGUUUGAAUCGGAUCUUGAGAAAUUGCAACAUAUCUGGAGAAAUACCGGAAUAUAUCUGGUAAGUGAGAGAACUUGAACUACUGGAUUUAUGUUUCAAUAGGCUAGUAGGGAGGAUAUCUUAUAACAUCCUAAUCAGUAGGGUGAGAUUAGUGAUUUUGACUGGUAAUAUGCUAAGUGGAGACUUUCCGGAUAAACUUUUGGUAACUAGAGCUAGCAUGUAAGUUUGUUUCUAGAAAAAUUAUGUUGAAACUUCAUGUGCAUACUUACUUUUUGGACCUGUUACACCUGUUAUACGGUUUAAAACAGAAGAAGAGGCUAUACAGAUUGCUAAUGACACUGAUUCAGGAUUAGCUGCUUACUUGUUCACAAACAAUAUUCAGUGUUUAUGGCGCGUGUCUGAAGCUCUUGAAUAUGGUCUUGUUGGAGUAAAUAAUCAUGCGUCUUUUCACAGGUAGCACCCUUUGGAGGUGUUAAGCAGUCUGAUUUAGGUCGGGAAUGUUCUAAUUACGGAUUAGAUGAGUAUCUUGAGAUCAGGUGCAUUUGUAUGGGAAACAUGGGCUGAUACGGAUCACCCUUAUACAAACACGCACUUUUAGUUUGGAUGUUUGGAUUUGAAUAAUUUAAUUUGAGUUAUAUGAUGUUUUGAUUUGGAUGUUUAUUUGAGGACCAUUGGAUGUAUAAACUUUUACAUUUUAAUGGAACGCGUUUCUGAUUCUAGAACGCUUGAGCA